GAUGAACGCUGGCGGCGUGCCUAAUACAUGCAAGUCGAACGCAUAGCGAAAGGUGCUUGCACCUUUCAAGUGAGUGGCGAACGGGUGAGUAACACGUGGACAACCUGCCUCAAGGCUGGGGAUAACAUUUGGAAACAGAUGCUAAUACCGAAUAAAACUUAGUGUCGCAUGACACAAAGUUAAAAGGCGCUUCGGCGUCACUUAGAGAUGGAUCCGCGGUGCAUUAGUUAGUUGGUGGGGUAAAGGCCUACCAAGACAAUGAUGCAUAGCCGAGUUGAGAGACUGAUCGGCCACAUUGGGACUGAGACACGGCCCAAACUCCUACGGGAGGCUGCAGUAGGGAAUCUUCCACAAUGGGCGAAAGCCUGAUGGAGCAACGCCGCGUGUGUGAUGAAGGCUUUCGGGUCGUAAAGCACUGUUGUAUGGGAAGAACAGCUAGAAUAGGAAAUGAUUUUAGUUUGACGGUACCAUACCAGAAGGGGACGGCUAAAUACGUG
Molecule: ribosomal RNA, 497 nt
Filed under: uncultured bacterium
Lineage: Bacteria
Description: partial 16S ribosomal RNA
Rfam family: Bacterial small subunit ribosomal RNA
Source: RNAcentral